AUGAUAAUUAGUUUAAGCCAAAAACAAAUGAUUUCGACUCAUUAGAUUAUGAUU
Molecule: transfer RNA, 54 nt
Filed under: Canis lupus (wolf)
Lineage: Eukaryota; Metazoa; Chordata; Mammalia; Carnivora; Canidae
Also listed under: 1 other name
Description: tRNA-Arg
Source: RNAcentral